RNAcentral lists this ribosomal RNA (415 nucleotides) under uncultured delta proteobacterium. Its description in RNAcentral is "bacterial SSU rRNA". It matches the Rfam family "Bacterial small subunit ribosomal RNA", at positions 370 to 779 of the family's 1533-position model. The record is from RNAcentral. Lineage: Bacteria; Deltaproteobacteria.
AAUGGGCGAAAGCCUGACGCAGCAACGCCGCGUGAGCGAUGAAGGCCCUUGGGUUGUAAAGCUCUGUUGGAAGGAAAGAUGGUUUAAAGUUAAUACUCUUAGACUUGACGGUACCUUCAAAGAAAGCACCGGCUAACUCUGUGCCAGCAGCCGCGGUAAUACAGAGGGUGCAAGCGUUGUUCGGAAUCAUUGGGCGUAAAGCGCGCGUAGGCGGCCAAAUAAGUCUGAUGUGAAAGCCCAGGGCUCAACCCUGGAAGUGCAUCGGAAACUGUUUGGCUCGAGUCCCGGAGGGGGUGGUGGAAUUCCUGGUGUAGAGGUGAAAUUCGUAGAUAUCAGGAGGAACACCGGUGGCGAAGGCGACCACCUGGACGGUGACUGACGCUGAGGUGCGAAAGCAUGGGUAGCAAACAGGAUU